This 158-nucleotide ribosomal RNA is filed under the name Chaetomella oblonga. RNAcentral describes it as "5.8S ribosomal RNA". It matches the Rfam family "5.8S ribosomal RNA". From Rfam's summary of the family: 5.8S ribosomal RNA (5.8S rRNA) is a component of the large subunit of the eukaryotic ribosome. It is transcribed by RNA polymerase I as part of the 45S precursor that also contains 18S and 28S rRNA. Functionally, it is thought that 5.8S rRNA may be involved in ribosome translocation. Lineage: Eukaryota; Fungi; Ascomycota; Leotiomycetes; Chaetomellales; Chaetomellaceae. The record is from RNAcentral.
AAACUUUCAACAACGGAUCUCUUGGUUCUGGCAUCGAUGAAGAACGCAGCGAAAUGCGAUACGUAAUGUGAAUUGCAGACACCGUGAAUCAUCGAAUCUUUGAACGCACAUUGCGCCCUUUGGUAUUCCGAAGGGCAUGCCUGUUCGAGCGUCAUUAC